Molecule: ribosomal RNA, 281 nt
Filed under: uncultured prokaryote
Description: partial 16S ribosomal RNA
Rfam family: Bacterial small subunit ribosomal RNA
Source: RNAcentral
UACGUAGGGGUGAGCGUUGUCCGGAAUUAUUGGGCGUAAAGAGCUCGUAGGCGGUCCUUUAAGUCGGAGGUGAAAUCUCAGGGCUCAACCCUGAAAUUGCCUUCGAUACUGGAGGACUUGAGGCAGGUAGGGGAGAACGGAAUUCCUGGUGUAGCGGUGAAAUGCGCAGAUAUCAGGAGGAACACCGGUGGCGAAGGCGGUUCUCUGGGCCUGUUCUGACGCUGAGGAGCGAAAGCGUGGGGAGCAAACAGGAUUAGAUACCCCCGUAGUCCCUGAGCGGG